AUUGAACGCUGGCGGCAGGCCUAACACAUGCAAGUCGAGCGGAUGAAGGGAGCUUGCUCCUGGAUUCAGCGGCGGACGGGUAAGUAAUGCCUAGGAAUCUGCCUGGUAGUGGGGGAUAACGUCCGGAAACGGGCGCUAAUACCGCAUACGUCCUGAGGGAGAAAGUGGGGGAUCUUCGGACCUCACGCUAUCAGAUGAGCCUAGGUCGGAUUAGCUAGUUGGUGGGGUAAAGGCCUACCAAGGCGACGAUCCGUAACUGGUCUGAGAGGAUGAUCAGUCACACUGGAACUGAGACACGGUCCAGACUCCUACGGGAGGCAGCAGUGGGGAAUAUUGGACAGGGGGCGAAAGCCUGAUCCAGCCAUGCCGCGUGUGUGAAGAAGGUCUGCGGAUUGUAAAGCACUUUAAGUUGGGAGGAAGGGCAGUAAGUUAAUACCUUGCUGUUUUGACGUUACCAACAGAAUAAGCACCGGCUAACUUCGU
RNAcentral lists this ribosomal RNA (483 nucleotides) under uncultured bacterium. RNAcentral's name for it is "partial 16S ribosomal RNA". It matches the Rfam family "Bacterial small subunit ribosomal RNA", at positions 30 to 506 of the family's 1533-position model. The record is from RNAcentral.